AGAGUUUGAUCAUGGCUCAGAACGUACGCUGGCGGCACGCCUAACACAUGCAAGUCGAACGAAGUAGCAAUACUUAGUGGCAGACGGGUGAGUAACAUGUAGGUAUCUACCCUUUGGCCUGGAAUAACACGAGGAAACUUGUGCUAAUACCGGAUAAGUCUUUACGGAGAAAGCUUUAUGCACCAUUGGAUGAGCCUGCACUUGAUUAGUUUGUUGGUGGGGUAAUGGCCUACCAAGACUGUGAUCAAUAGCUGAUUUGAGAGGAUGAUCAGCCACAUUGGGACUGAGACACGGCCCAAACUCCUACGGGAGGCAGCAGUGGGGAAUCUUGCACAAUGGAGGAAACUCUGAUGCAGCGAUGCCGCGUGAGUGAAGAAGGCCUUUGGGUUGUAAAGCUCUUUCGUCGGGGAAGAAAAUGACUGUACCCGAAUAAGAAGGUCCGGCUAACUUCGUGCCAGCAGCCGCGGUAAUACGAAGGGACCUAGCGUAGUUCGGAAUUACUGGGCUUAAAGAGUUCGUAGGUGGUUGAAAAAGUUAGUGGUGAAAUCCCAGAGCUUAACUCUGGAACUGCCAUUAAAACUUUUCAGCUAGAGUAUGAUAGAGGAAAGCAGAAUUUCUAGUGUAGAGGUGAAAUUCGUAGAUAUUAGAAAGAAUACCAAUUGCGAAGGCAGCUUUCUGGAUCAUUACUGACACUGAGGAACGAAAGCAUGGGUAGCGAAGAGGAUUAGAUACCCUCGUAGUCCAUGCCGUAAACGAUGUGUGUUAGACGUUGGAAAUUUAUUUUCAGUGUCGCAGCGAAAGCGAUAAACACACCGCCUGGGGAGUACGACCGCAAGGUUAAAACUCAAAUGAAUUGACGGGGACCCGCACAAGUAGUGGAGCAUGUGGUUUAAUUCGAAGAUACGCGCAGAACCUUACCAACACUUGACAUGUUCGUCGCGACUCUAAGAGAUUAGAGUUUUCGGUUCGGCCGGACGAAACACAGGUGCUGCAUGGCUGUCGUCAGCUCGUGUCGUGAGAUGUUGGGUUAAGUCCCGCAACGAGCGCAACCCUCACUUUUAGUUGCCAUCAUUUAGUUGGGCACUCUGAAAGAACUGCCAGUGAUAAGCUGGAGGAAGGUGGGGAUGACGUCAAGUCCUCAUGGCCCUUACGUGUUGGGCUACACACGUGCUACAAUGGUAUCUACAACAGGAAGCAAGACUGCGAGGUCAAGCAAAUCCUUAAAAGAUACCUCAGUUCGGAUUGCACUCUGCAACUCGAGUGCAUGAAGCUGGAAUUACUAGUAAUCGUGGAUCAGCGUGCCACGGUGAAUGCGUUCCCGGGUCUUGUACACACCGCCCGUCACACCAUGGGAGUUGGUUCUACCUUAAGGCAAGGUUUAAAACCCUUGACCACGGUAUAGUCAGCGACUGGGGUGAAGUCGUAACAAGGUAGCCGUAGGGGAACCUGCGGCUG
RNAcentral lists this ribosomal RNA (1455 nucleotides) under Pelagibacteraceae bacterium AG-390-A02. RNAcentral's name for it is "bacterial SSU rRNA". It matches the Rfam family "Bacterial small subunit ribosomal RNA". The record is from RNAcentral. Lineage: Bacteria; Pseudomonadati; Pseudomonadota; Alphaproteobacteria; Candidatus Pelagibacterales; Candidatus Pelagibacteraceae. RNAcentral also lists the same sequence under 1 other name.